RNAcentral lists this ribosomal RNA (435 nucleotides) under uncultured bacterium. Its description in RNAcentral is "partial 16S ribosomal RNA". It matches the Rfam family "Bacterial small subunit ribosomal RNA", at positions 29 to 507 of the family's 1533-position model. The record is from RNAcentral.
AGCGAACGCUGGCGGCAGGCUUAACACAUGCAAGUCGAACGGACUGCUUCGGAAUUCGUUGGCAGACGGGUGAGUAACCCGUGGGAACGUGCCCGUCGGUUCUGAAUAACUCAGGGAAACUUGAGCUAAUACCUGAUACGCCCAUUUGGGGGAAGGUUUACUUCCGAAGGGUCGGCCCGCGUCUGAUUAGCGUGGGGGUUGGGUAACGGCAUACCAAGGCGACGAGCAGGAGCUGGGCUGAGAGGAUGAUACGCUACAAUGGGACUUCGACACGGCCCAGAAUGCUACGCGAGGGAGCAGUGGGGUACAUUGGAGAAUGGGGGCAAGCGCGACAAAGCCAUGCCGGGGGAGAGAUGCAGGCCUUAGGGUUGUACAGCCCCUUUGUACGGGACGAUAAUGACGGUAACGGAAGAAUAAGCCCCGGCUAACUUCGUG